Long non-coding RNA from Impatiens glandulifera, 397 nucleotides. RefSeq lists it as uncharacterized. The transcript is spliced from 2 exons. The record is from RefSeq and is a predicted model, not a curated record. NCBI's taxonomy places the organism in Eukaryota, Viridiplantae, Streptophyta, Magnoliopsida, Ericales, Balsaminaceae.
UAUCCUCUAACGGCCGCCACUUGAGAAAUUCUAAUUUUGUACUUAGUUCGAUCGAAUGAUGGAAGGAUUCAAUCCAAAGAAAUUUUCAUUGCAGAAACAGUAUCAGAAUGAUGGAAGGAUUCAUAUACAAUGUAAAUAUUAUUGAUACAGUACAUGUUUACAAUGUUUUAUAUAGAAGUGUUUCCAGGAGAAGAAAGAAGUUGAGCAUGAAGAAGCAGACAGUUUCAAUUUAACUAGAGAUAAAUAGAGAUAAUGUCAAUGAACGGAGAUGGAUGAGAUUAGAGUUGCACAAGAGAAAGAAUAAUGUCAAUUAUUAGAAGUUUAUAAACUUGUCUGGUAUAUUAUGUUUUCAUAUUAUAUUUUUAUGUAAUUGAAAAUAUGUAAUAUAUAAGAUAUU